GCAGGUGUAGUUUAAUGGCAGAACUUCAGCUUCCCAAGCUGAUCGCGUGGGUUCGAUUCCCAUCACCUGCUCCA
Molecule: transfer RNA, 74 nt
Filed under: Clostridiales bacterium
Lineage: Bacteria; Bacillati; Bacillota; Clostridia; Eubacteriales
Also listed under: 5 other names
Description: tRNA-Gly
Rfam family: tRNA
About the family: Transfer RNA (tRNA) molecules are approximately 80 nucleotides in length. Their secondary structure includes four short double-helical elements and three loops (D, anti-codon, and T loops). Further hydrogen bonds mediate the characteristic L-shaped molecular structure. tRNAs have two regions of fundamental functional importance: the anti-codon, which is responsible for specific mRNA codon recognition, and the 3' end, to which the tRNAs corresponding amino acid is attached (by aminoacyl-tRNA synthetases). tRNAs cope with the degeneracy of the genetic code in two manners: having more than one tRNA (with a specific anti-codon) for a particular amino acid; and 'wobble' base-pairing, i.e. permitting non-standard base-pairing at the 3rd anti-codon position.
Source: RNAcentral